Molecule: ribosomal RNA, 806 nt
Filed under: Dientamoeba fragilis
Lineage: Eukaryota; Parabasalia; Tritrichomonadida; Dientamoebidae
Description: SSU rRNA
Rfam family: Eukaryotic small subunit ribosomal RNA
Source: RNAcentral
UAUACUUUUCCAGUAUAUUGUAACCUAGCAGAGGGCCAGUCUGGUGCCAGCAGCUGCGGUAAUUCCAGCUCUGCAAGUUUGCUCCCAUAUUGUUGUAGUUAAAACGCUCGUAGUCUGAAUUAUUUUAAUUUAAAUUUUUUAAAUUAAAAUUUAGUUUUUAUUUUAUAAAAACGUUCACUGUGAACAAAUCAGAACGCUUAAAGUAAUUUUCUUUAUUGAAUGAUUUAGCGCAGUAUGAAAUUUUUACUUUUUAAAUUUUAAUUAAUUUAACAAGUAAUAUCAAAGAGAAUAAUCGGGGAUAGAUCUAUUUCAUGGCGAACAGCGAAAUGUUUUGACCCAUGAGAGAGAAACGAAGGCGAAAGCAUCUAUCAAGUGUAUUUCUAUCGAUCAAGGGCGAGAGUAGGAGUAUCCAACCGGAUCAGAGACCCGGGUAGUUCCUACCUUAAACUAUGCCGACAAGGUUUUGUUUUUUUUAAUAAAAGCAGUACCAUAGGAGAAAUCAUAGUUCAUGGGCUCUGGGGGAACUACGACCGCAAGGCUGAAACUUGAAGGAAUUGACGGAAGGGCACACCAGGGGUGGAGCUUGUGGCUUAAUUUGAAUCAACACGGGAAAACUUACCAGGACCAGAUAUUUUUAAUGACUGAUCAGGCUAUAGGUCUUUCAGGAUAUGAUUUUUGGUGGUGCAUGGCCGUUGGUGGUGCGUGGGUUGACCUGUCUAGCGUUGAUUCAGAUAACGAGCGAGAUUAUCACCAAUUAAAUAUAUAAAUAUUUUUAUUAAAAUAAUUUAUUUUCUAAUUGGGACUCC